This 496-nucleotide ribosomal RNA is filed under the name uncultured bacterium. Its description in RNAcentral is "partial 16S ribosomal RNA". It matches the Rfam family "Bacterial small subunit ribosomal RNA", at positions 28 to 506 of the family's 1533-position model. The record is from RNAcentral.
GAUGAACGCUGGCGGCGUGCCUAAUACAUGCAAGUCGAGCGAACAGAUAAGGAGCUUGCUCCUUUGAAGUUAGCGGCGGACGGGUGAGUAACACGUGGGUAACCUACCUUUAAGACUGGGAUAACUUCGGGAAACCGGAGCUAAUACCGGAUAACAUUUAGAACCGCAUGGUUCUAAAGUGAAAGAUGGUUUUGCUAUCACUUAUAGAUGGACCCGCGCCGUAUUAGCUAGUUGGUAAGGUAACGGCUUACCAAGGCGACGAUACGUAGCCGACCUGAGAGGGGGAUCGGCCACACGGGAACGGAGACCCGGCCCAGACCCUUAGGGGGGGCAGAAGUAGGGAAUUUUCCGAAAUGGGCGAAAGCCGGAGGGAGAAACGCGGGGGGGGUGAGAAGGGGUUUGGGCUCGUAAACCUUUUUUAUUAGGGAAAAAAAAAUGGGUAAGUAACGGGGCACAUUUUGACGGUACCAAAUCAGAAAGCCAGGGAUAACUACGU